This is a non-coding RNA of Pelobates cultripes (western spadefoot toad), 216 nucleotides long. Lineage: Eukaryota; Metazoa; Chordata; Amphibia; Anura; Pelobatidae. The record is from the annotation of a GenBank genome assembly.
UCUAGUCUGCCCAAUUUUCUAAAUACUUUCAUUAGUCCCUAGCCUUAUCUUAAAGUUAGGGUAGCCUUAUGCCUAUCCCACGCAUGCCUAAACUCCUUUACUGUGUUAACCUCUACCACUUCAGCUGGAAGGCUAUUCCAUGCAUUCACUACACUCUCAGUAAAGUAAUACUUCCUGAUAUUAUUUUUAAACCUUUGCACCUCUAAUUUAAGACUA